RNAcentral lists this ribosomal RNA (262 nucleotides) under uncultured bacterium. RNAcentral's name for it is "partial 16S ribosomal RNA". It matches the Rfam family "Bacterial small subunit ribosomal RNA", at positions 15 to 273 of the family's 1533-position model. The record is from RNAcentral.
GACCAUGGCUCAGGAUGAACGCUAGCGGCAGGCUUAACACAUGCAAGUCGAGGGGCAGCGCGGGGCGGCAACGUCCUGGCGGCGACCGGCGGAAGGGUGCGUAACGCGUGAGCGACAUGCCCGUUGCCCGGGGACAACCGGUGGAAACGCCGACUAAUCCCCGAUGGGACGGAGGCCCUCAUGGGUCUCUGUUGAAAGUUACGGCGGCGACGGAUUGGCUCGCGUCCGAUUAGCUUGUUGGCGGGGUAACGGCCCACCAAGG